Long non-coding RNA from Symphalangus syndactylus (siamang), 869 nucleotides. RefSeq lists it as uncharacterized. Lineage: Eukaryota; Metazoa; Chordata; Mammalia; Primates; Hylobatidae. The record is from RefSeq and is a predicted model, not a curated record.
GUCAUUACGCACGCGACGGCAACGGCGGCGACAACCCGGAAACGGGCGGAGCGUGGGCCCCGGCAAAAGAAACUAAUAUGCUGUAUGACAACAGCCGAAGAAUAAAUAUCCUUUCAAGUCCAAUCCUGCCUACGAUGUCAAAAUCAAGAAUGAGGAGGUUAUGUGCUGAAACAGAAUGACCUUCACGAGAUGCAGCCUCUGGAUCUUGGACUUCCCCAGCCUCCAGAACUCUGAGCAGAGCCCCAUAAAUGAGAAGCCACGAAGACUGAGGUUACACAGUGAUCCACAGUUGCCACAAAACUGAGCAGGCGUCAAGGUGCAUCUUGGUGUUGAAUGAAGUUGUUCCAUAUGGGCUCAUUUCUCAGAUUCCUCUUUACACCUGUUGUAGAUCACACUGAAGACUAAUUGAAGUGUCAGAAGGGGGAGCCUAUUAUGCUAAAUAUAGGCUGGAUGCUUCAGGGCGGUAUGCUUACCACUGGGUAUUUUAAAUUGGCCUUUGACACUUGUUGCCUUUUAAAAAUAUGUGUCCCACUCCUGUUUCUUUCUGUAACAGAUACUUAGCAAAAGUCACUAUCUUGAUUAUUCUUCCAGAAAAAGAGUCUACUAUCAACACACCAGGAAUGUGCAAGAUAUAGUUCUAAAACAUUUCUUUUAGAAGGAUCUAUAUACAUAUUGUUGAUUUUGAGCAUUAUUUACAUGGUAAUAAUGGAUGACAAAAAGAAUUUAAACAUUUCAAACUAUACCAGUGCAAAAAAUUAUGAUAUUCAAUGUACACAUAUAUUCCACACUAAUUUUCUUGUUAUAAUUGUUACUGGGAUCAUGCUACACUUUGCAAUGUAAGUAUUCUUAAAACUCAUGGUUUUCCACUG